GUCGGAUAGCUACAAGAAAAACUACAACGGGGGGGGGGGGGGGGUGGAAGGCCACCCUUCCCAAAUAAAGGGGUCAACAAGGUGUACACCGCACUCAAUACAGAUCGGGCCAAGAUACUGGAAGAGAUGCGAAGCAAGCCCUUUUUCGAACCAUGUCAAACGAUCCCGAAGCCAGGGAAGAGGGGUCGGAACAAGUAUUGUGCGUACCACCAGAGUCGGGGUCACACGACAGAAGAUUGCACCAACUUGAAAGACUUAAUAGAAAAGAAUGUCCAGAACGGGAAGUUGGUACAGUACGUAGUUGGCCGAGAAGGGUCGGAAGCCCCAGGAGAGGACAACAGCGAGCCCACCCGACAAGCACAG
This 363-nucleotide long non-coding RNA is filed under the name Panax ginseng (ginseng). RNAcentral describes it as "long non-coding RNA (PGIN_LNC006691)". The record is from RNAcentral. Lineage: Eukaryota; Viridiplantae; Streptophyta; Magnoliopsida; Apiales; Araliaceae.